This 558-nucleotide ribosomal RNA is filed under the name uncultured bacterium. RNAcentral's name for it is "bacterial SSU rRNA". It matches the Rfam family "Bacterial small subunit ribosomal RNA", at positions 338 to 916 of the family's 1533-position model. The record is from RNAcentral.
CCUACGGGAGGCAGCAGUGGGGAAUCUUGCACAAUGGAGGAAACUCUGAUGCAGCGAUGCCGCGUGAGUGAAGAAGGCCUUUGGGUUGUAAAGCUCUUUUGUAGGGGAAGAUAAUGACUGUACCCUAAGAAUAAGGUCCGGCUAACUUCGUGCCAGCAGCCGCGGUAAUACGAAGGGACCUAGCGUAGUUCGGAAUUACUGGGCGUAAAGCGCGCGUAGGCCGUUGAGUUAGUUAAUUGUGAAAUCCCAAAGCUUAACUUUGGAACUGCAAUUAAAACUGCUCGACUAGAGUUUGAUAGAGGAAAGCGGAAUACAUAGUGUAGAGGUGAAAUUCGUAGAUAUUAUGUAGAACACCAGUUGCGAAGGCGGCUUUCUGGAUCAACACUGACGCUGAGGCGCGAAAGUAUGGGUAGCAAAGAGGAUUAGAUACCCUCGUAGUCCAUACCAUAAACGAUGGUUGCUAGAUGUUGGAAAUUUAUUUUCAGUAUCGCAGCUAACGCAUUAAGCAAUCCGCCUGGGGAGUACGACCGCAAGGUUAAAACUCAAAGGAAUUGACGG